Molecule: long non-coding RNA, 2517 nt
Organism: Apteryx haastii (Great spotted kiwi)
Lineage: Eukaryota; Metazoa; Chordata; Aves; Apterygiformes; Apterygidae
Source: Ensembl
UCUCCCCCGUGGAAUCUGUCCCCCGUAGCGUCCGUCCCUCGUGGUGUCUGUCCCCCGUGGCAUCUGUCCCCCAUGGCGUCUGUCACCCGUGGCAUCUGUCCCUCGUGGUGUCGGUCCCCCAUGGUGUCUGUCCCCCAUGGCGUCUGUCCCUCGUGGCAUCUGUCCCUUGUGGCGUCUGUCCCCCAUGGCACUUGUCCCUCGUGGCGUAUGUCCCUCGUGGCAUCUAUCCCCCGUGGCGUCUGUCCCCGUGGCAUCUGUCACCCGUGGCAUCUCUACCUCUUGGAAUCUGUCCCCCGUAGCCUCCGUCCCCCAUGGCGUCUGUCCCUCGUGGCAUCUAUCCACCGUGGCAUCGGUCCCCCGUGGCGUCCGUCCCCGUGGCAUCUGUCGCCCAUGGCAUCGGUCCCCCGUGGAAUCUGUCCCCCAUAGUGUCCGUCCCCCAUGGCCUCUGUCCCCCGUGGCAUCAGUCCCCCAUGGCGUCUGUCCUGUGGCGUCUGUCCCCCGUGGUGUCGGUCCCCCGUGGCAUUGGUCCCCCGUGGUGUUCAUCCUCUGUGGCAUCUGUCCCCCGUGGUGUCCGUCCCUCAUGGUGUCUGUCCCCCGUGGCAUCUGUCCCUUGUGGUGUCCGUCCCCCGUUGUAUCUGUCCGCCAUUGUAUCUGUCCCUCAUGGCAUCUGUCCCCUGUGGCGUCCGUCCCCCGUGGCGUCUGUCCCCCGUGAUGUCCAUCCACCAUUGUGUCCAUAUCUCGUGGCAUCCAUCCCUUGUCGCGUCCGUCCACUGUGGCAUCUGUCCCCCGUGUCAUCUAUCCCUUGUGGUGUCCAUCCACCGUUGUGUCCAUCCCUCGUGGCGUCCAUCCCCCAUGGUGACCAUCCACUGUGGUGUGCAUCCCCCGUGUGUCCGUCCCCCGUGUGUCCGUCCCCCGUGUGUCCGUCCCCYGUGUGUCCGUCCCCUGUGGCGUCUGUCCCCCGUGGCAUCCAUCCCCCGUGGCGCCCGUACCCCAUGGCAUCUGUCCCCCGUGGCGUCUGUCCCCCUGGUGUCCAUCCCCCAUGGCAUCCGUCCCCUAUGACCUCUGUUCCCCGUGGCAUCUGUCCCGCAUUGUGUCCAUCCCCCAUGGCAUCCAUCCCCCAUGGCAUCCGUUUCCCAGGGCAUCUGUCUCCUGGGGCGUCCGUCCCCUGUGGUGUCCAUCCACCGUUGUGUCCAUCCCCUGUGACAUCUGUCCCCCAUGGUAUCUGUUCCCCGGGGCAUCCAUCCCCUGUGGCAUCUGGUUCCUGUGGCAUCUGUCCCUGUGGUGUCCAUCCCCCAUGGCAUCCGUCCUCUGUGGUUUCUGUGCCCGUGGUGUCCGUGCCAGUGCUGUUCAUCCCCCGUGGCGUCCGUCCCCCGUGGUGUCCGUCCACUGUGGCAUCCAUCCCCCGUGGCUCUGUCCCCCGUGGCGUCCAUCCCCAUGGUGUCCAUCACCCGUGGCGUGCAUCCCCCAUCAUGUCCGUCUCCUGUGGCGUCCAUCCACCGUGGCAUCCGUCCCCAUAGCAUCCAUCCACUGCGGUGUCCGUCCCCCGUGACGUCCAUCGCCAUGGCAUCCAUCCCCCGUGGUGUCUGUCCCCCGUGGCAUCUGUCCCCAUGGUGUCUGUUCCCCUUGGCAUCUGUCCCCGUGGCAUCCAUCCCCUGUGGCAUCUGUCCCCUGUGGCGUCCGUCCCAGUGGCGAUCAUCCCCCAUGGCAUCCAUCCCCCGUAGUGUCCCUCCCCCGUGGCGUCCGUCCCCAUGGCACACCUACCUUAUGGCAUCCAUCCCUCGUGGUGUCCAUCCCCCGUGGCCUCCGUCCCUGUGGUCUUCAUCCCUUGUGGCAUCCGCACUGCCCGUUAAAGCCAGGCUGGAGCUGGAGCUGGCUCUUUGCUGGGCCUUUCCCUCCCCGAAAUCCUCUGGUCCCAGGCUGCGGCUUGUGCUGCUCCGCAGUGCAUCGGGAACACGAGGAUAUGCUGAUACCCGCGCCGGAGAAUAUUAGGAGAAAAACGCCCAAAGUGUUGUGACAAAAUAGUUUGAAAGUAAAGGACGAGGCUCAGCCCAGCUUCUGCCCUUCGUGGUGGCCUUCGUUUGGCGACCCGCGUUUCGGUUUGCGGGGGCUCCACCGACACGGAGUGCGAUUUAGUCACCCGAUGGGAAAGACGACGUUUGCCCAGCGAGCGGCGCGCGCCGGCAGCUCUUUGCGGUCGCCCCCUCGAAGGCAGGAUUGGGGCAACGCGAAUCUGGCCCAUCCGCGCCGAGGCCACGCAGCACUGCUGCCUGCUGGCCAGACCGCGCUGCAAGUGGCCGGUGGCCCUGGGACUCCGUCGGGGCAGCGGCUCUGUCGUGGCCGUGGCCAUUGUGAUGUCAAGGUAGCCAUGGCGCCGGCGGAGCCGCAGACGACCCGYGCGGUUUCCCACUGGGAAACCAGUGCUUUUCAUUCCUGUUAAGUGGAUGUUCGUAGCAAGGGACCUUUCUUCUUUGCACGUUAAAGCAGGUUUAGCAACGGGCAUCAGCCAAGACAGCAUCA